UAGGGAAUCUUCGGCAAUGGACGGAAGUCUGACCGAGCAACGCCGCGUGAGUGAAGAAGGUUUUCGGAUCGUAAAGCUCUGUUGUAAGAGAAGAACGAGUGUGAGAGUGGAAAGUUCACACGGUGACGGUAUCUUACCAGAAAGGGACGGCUAACUACGUGCCAGCAGCCGCGGUAAUACGUAGGUCCCGAGCGUUGUCCGGAUUUAUUGGGCGUAAAGCGAGCGCAGGCGGUUAGAUAAGUCUGAAGUUAAAGGCUGUGGCUUAACCAUAGUACGCUUUGGAAACUGUUUAACUUGAGUGCAAGAGGGGAGAGUGGAAUUCCAUGUGUAGCGGUGAAAUGCGUAGAUAUAUGGAGGAACACCGGUGGCGAAAGCGGCUCUCUGGCUUGUAACUGACGCUGAGGCUCGAAAGCGUGGGGAGCAAACAGGAUUAGAUACCCUGGUAGUCCACGCCGUAAACGAUGAGUGCUAGGUGUUAGACCCUUUCCGGGGUUUAGUGCCGCAGCUAACGCAUUAAGCACUCCGCCUGGGGAGUACGACCGCAAGGUUG
RNAcentral lists this ribosomal RNA (550 nucleotides) under uncultured bacterium. RNAcentral describes it as "bacterial SSU rRNA". It matches the Rfam family "Bacterial small subunit ribosomal RNA", at positions 355 to 896 of the family's 1533-position model. The record is from RNAcentral.